AGAAUCAACGCUGGCGGCGUGCCUAACACAUGCAAGUCGAACGCGAAAGCCCCGAAAGGGGCAAGUAGAGUGGCAAACGGGUGAGUAACACGUGGGUGACCUGCCUUCGAGCGGGGGAUAACGUCCCGAAAGGGACGCUAAUACCGCAUAACAUCCUGCCUUUGAAGAGGUGGAGAUCAAAGCUGGGGAUCGCAAGACCCGGCACUUGAAGAGGGCCCGCGUCCGAUUAGCUAGUUGGUGGGGUAAUGGCCUACCAAGGCAACGAUCAGUA
RNAcentral lists this ribosomal RNA (271 nucleotides) under uncultured soil bacterium. RNAcentral describes it as "partial 16S ribosomal RNA". It matches the Rfam family "Bacterial small subunit ribosomal RNA", at positions 26 to 285 of the family's 1533-position model. The record is from RNAcentral.